GACGAACGCUGGCGGCGUGCUUAACACAUGCAAGUCGAACGGUAAGGCCCUUCGGGGUACACGAGUGGCGAACGGGUGAGUAACACGUGGGUGAUCUGCCCUGCACUUCGGGAUAAGCCUGGGAAACUGGGUCUAAUACCGGAUAGGACUCCUGGCUUCAUGGUUGGGGGUGGAAAGCUUUUGCGGUGUGGGAUGGGCCCGCGGCCUAUCAGCUUGUUGGUGGGGUAAUGGCCUACCAAGGCGACGACGGGUAGCCGGCCUGAGAGGGUGACCGGUCACACUGGGACUGAGAUACGGCCCAGACUCCUACGGGAGGCAGCAGUGGGGAAUAUUGCACAAUGGGCGCAAGCCUGAUGCAGCGACGCCGCGUGAGGGAUGACGGCCUUCGGGUUGUAAACCUCUUUCAGCUAUGACGAAGCGCAAGUGACGGUAGUAGCAGAAGAAGGACCGGCCAACUACGUGCCAGCCGCCGCAGUAA
Molecule: ribosomal RNA, 478 nt
Filed under: uncultured bacterium
Lineage: Bacteria
Description: partial 16S ribosomal RNA
Rfam family: Bacterial small subunit ribosomal RNA
Source: RNAcentral